RNAcentral lists this long non-coding RNA (9709 nucleotides) under Triticum aestivum (bread wheat). RNAcentral's name for it is "long non-coding RNA (TAES_LNC019873)". Lineage: Eukaryota; Viridiplantae; Streptophyta; Magnoliopsida; Poales; Poaceae. The record is from RNAcentral.
UGUCUUCUCUCCUGAUGUUGAUCUUGGGGCCAUUGAUCAUAGAUGUCAUCCUGGUAAGCAAAAAGAUCUGGAGCUUCUUGCACACACUUACAAAAUACCUAGCGCAUGAUGACACCCUCGUCGUCGACUCUGUGGUGCUUGAUGAUAGCCCCGCAUCGCCGGCGAAAGUAACUGGCGGUGGAGGAUUAACAUCUCGUGACAUAGAAUUUGUCACGGCGAGGCUAGGUCUUACCGGCUGGAGGUACCAAGGGUGUGAAGGAAUUAGUGUCGUAGAUGAGUUGUUGGACGGUAAGCAAGCGAGCAAGGGUGAGCUGGAGGAGGCCUUCUGUGUUUUCGACCGUGAUGAGGACGGGUUCAUAUGCGCCGGUGGGUUGUGGAACGUGAUGAGGAGGCUUGGGUUGAAAGAAGGGGCCAUGUAUGAGGACUGUGUGAGGAUGAUCCGCCCCUUCGAUGAGGAUGGAGAUGGUAAGAUUAGCUUCAUAGAGUUUAGAAAGAUGAUGGAGAAUGCCGUUUAGUUAAAUAGAAUGUUUUUGUUUGUGUAAAAUAAGCCGUUAUAAACAGUUGUAUGAACAAUGUGUGUCAGUAUGCAACUUUUUGGCAUUUAAUUAAGGUUUUGACCUCACUAUUUGUUCGCACUAUUUUGGGCCAAACAAUUUGGCAAAUAUGUAAAGUAUCAAACAUUGCAUCUCGCUACCAAACAGCUCAUACAUAAAGUAGGAAAACGCCAACGUUUUACUCUCUAAAGUUUCGAGUUUGUCUCGAUAGCCUUUGGUUUUGUCCAUUUACCCCUCCAAGUGUAUGGGAUGCUAUGUAAAAAAACACUGUCAGAACUAGUGCCGUAGAUUGAUGUGAUCUGGCAUUGAUAAUUUGCAGGGUAAAUCUAAUGAAGCAAAAGGGUAGUUUAUGUUGUGAAUAAAGAAGUAAACUGCGGAUUAAAAACAUAGAAGAGAAUUUGGAUUCCAAUUCCUGUUCUUUGGCACAUGGUGCAUGAUGUGUGAAUGUGCAUGAGUAUAUGCGGCGCUUACAAACCAAGAAAAGGACAUGCAUUUGCUUACCUGCAUGUUGCCGCCCCCCUAUGUCAGUCCAACAAGAAAUGGAAAAGAGAAAUUAUAGGUCACUAUCUAAGAGCACGAAAGGUAACAGUUAUGCCAAACGUGUCAAUUCAUUAUAUGGAAAAGCUUUGCUCUACAUGCAUCGACUGUAUAGAAAUUAAUAGAAGGAAAUGAAGUUAUGGAUACUUCAGUAGGACAUGAAUCGACCUUUUGGCCUGAAAAUUAAGAAAUUUCUACCUGGUAAUUAUUAUGUACUGCCAUCCCAUAACCUGUGAUUUCACAACAUAUUUGAUGAAGGUGAUUAAACUCAAACUCACGGUCAAUCGUCUUACUAGGACAAAAGAAACAUGUGUCAAACGAUAUUUGAAGUAAAAUGUGCCAUCAGAGCAUCUUCAAUAAAUCCCCUUUCCCUGACUAAAAACUGGCAUAGAGGGAGUUGGGCCAAAAAACCUGCUCCAACAUAUCCCAUAAACGAGAAAUAAAAAUCAGAGGACCACUUAUAAUCAACCCAAGCUCGCCUCUAUCUAGGGGAAAUGGGCCGUCCAUAACUUUCCCCUCAUACUGGCAGGAGGCAACAGCUGAACCACGUCCACCUCCACGCCCGUGGGCGAGCCGCGGCCCAGCAGACGACCCAAAUCUUUAUUGGUGGCAGUCCACCGCCUUGCCCCACCUCCCGGCCGCACCGCCUCAACUCUCUGUAGCCCCGCCAUCGCAGCAUCUCGCCCCACUGCCACGUAAUCCUAGCCGCCUCGCCAGGCCGCCUCUACACGCUGACCCGACCACCUCUCCCAACUAUACUUCCCGAGCUCACUGGACCUUCCCCGACCAGCCACCACUUCCUCUAGUUUGCAUCGCCUUUGGAUCCACAAUGUGUUCAAUGAAUUUCCUCACCCUUAAACAUAUAAGGUUGGACGAAGAACAAGCGGACAACAGGACCUUGCGUCUUUUUUAAGUAGGAGAGAUAUUUGAUGGAUUUGAUCCGACUCAAACUCGUAGUGAAUUAUAUUACUAGGACGAAAUAAACAUGUAUCAAAUGAUAUUUACACGAGUCAGGUAGGUGUACGCAUGCAAGUGUUAGCACCCAUUUUAUUUACUAGAUAAUUGCACGUAUGUUACAACAUGGGCAUUAUUGUAUUUGUUAAACACUUAUUGGGUAAGUAUUUAGUGGCUUACCAAAGAAAAUAUUAUUUGAUUUGGUCAGUCAAUAAGAGGUGAGGCAGUUGAAGUGAUUUUCGUGUGAAACCGGUGCACAAAAUCAGAAGUGGGAGGGAAAAAAUCAAAACAAAGGGAGAGCGUGAGUGAAGGUAAGGUUGGACGACUAACAGAACCUUACGUAUUUUUUUAAGUGGGAUAGGAAGAGAUAAGAUAAGUCAAUAAGAAGUGAGCCAAUUGAAGCGGUUUUCAUGAAAAACUGGUGUGAAAAAUCAGUGGUGGGAGGUUAAAAACUCAAAAUGAAUGGAUGUGNNNNNNNNNNNNNNNNNNNNNNNNNNNNNNNNNNNNNNNNNNNNNNNNNNNNNNNNNNNNNNNNNNNNNNNNNNNNNNNNNNNNNNNNNNNNNNNNNNNNNNNNNNNNNNNNNNNNNNNNNNNNNNNNNNNNNNNNNNNNNNNNNNNNNNNNNNNNNNNNNNNNNNNNNNNNNNNNNNNNNNNNNNNNNNNNNNNNNNNNNNNNNNNNNNNNNNNNNNNNNNNUAGAACUUUUACGUCAUUUUAAAGUAGGAUAGAAUAGAGAGAGAAAAAUCAGGGUUUCUCGUGCCGCCGUUGUCGCCGCCAUCUGAGAAAUUUUGGUCCCCUCGCCUCCAACUGCCAUCUUGGCGCUAAGAGGUGGGGGGACCUCGGAUCUUCAAGACCUCUAUGUUCUUCGUCAAUGCCUAGUGAUCAUCAUAGUUUUGUGAGAAUAAACUUCCUCUCAGUCUUUUGACAAUGCCAUGAGGUUAGAAAGUUUUCCGUCCUCGCGGAUUCGAUUAUUCGGAUCUGAUAAGUUUAUAUUGCUAUUUUCAAGCUUUUUUGUUGGUUUGAUUCUUUGCGGAGGUGAAAUCUUUCAUCGACACCAUGGUGAAGAUAUAGUGAUUCGGCGGCCUGCGCUUCUAGGGGAUCAUCCCGGGCCCAAGUACGUUCAUCGGUCAAGGCUUCCCAUCUAUUUAAGAUGGGCAACUCAAGGCGAUUUCAAAAACCAUUAUUGGUAACGUUCGUGCGGGUGAAAGAGUGACAACGUUGUUUCUCCAGUUUAAUUGCAGCCUCUUUACCGAAGUCUUUGGAGUAUCUCUUCGAGUAAAGAUUGCUAUCGCGGAGAAGGUGUUUACAAGAGAUUUCAUUGUAAUUCUUAGUCAUGGGAGUUAUUUUGUAUUUUCUUGGAUCUUAGGUCCAAAUCGGUUUACCUGUAAUUGUUAUGAUCAAUAAAGUUACAGGUGUUUCUAAAAAAAGUAAAAUUGAAGAGAAGAGACGUGUAGUUUAGACCAUGAUUUACCUGCACUUAUUAGUGUGAUUUGACCAUAUUAAAGUGUUGUGUAAAAUGUAUUUUUUUAACUAAAUAUAUAAUUUUAGUUGGUAAACACAUAUUGACACAUCAAAGUAAACAUAAUUCUAUGCGAUAUAUCAAUAAGAGGUGGGGGCAGUUGAAGCGUUUUCAUAAAAAGGCAGUGUAAAAAAUCAGGCGUGGUAGAAAGAAAAGCAAAAUGGAGAAGGGAAUAGGAAAUAAGUGUAUGGUUGGGUGAAAGUCCAGCGAACUGACAUAACUAGUGUGUUUUUAAUUAAGUAAGAGAAGAUUGAAAUUAGUGAAAGCCACAUGGCACGUGGCCGUCAAAGAACUCAUAAAGUUGUUGCAAGAUAUGCCUUCCUUUGGAUGCAAUUACUCUCUCCGAUACAUAUUAUUUGUCUUAGUUUUCUCUAAAUACAAAUGUAUCUAACACUAAAACAUAUCUAGAUACAUCCGUAUUUAGACAAAUCUAAAACAAGUAAUAUUGAUCAAAGUGGUAAGAAAGUUUCGGACAGUGAACACAACUAAGAAACAUGUCAAUUAUUGUUUAUUUAGUUAUUACUAUGGAAAUGAUUGAGAGAGAGAGAGAGAGAGAGAGAGAAAGAGAGACACACAUGCAAAAUAACAUGGUCCCACCAAUCAAAAGAAAAAAACAGUCUAGAUUUGUUCAGUGCUCUUACCUCUUAGGAGGUAAGUUGGAGUGGAAUAAAUGAGCUCUGUCAAGAAAUUUUAGCUAACAUAUUUUCAAUACUAGCCAUUCGGUUAAGACUUGGCACAGAUGCCCAUAUUUCUUGGAUUUAUUUAAGCUUUUCAAUGGUAUUAUUUUGAUGGUAUACUUCAUCAACUAUACGAAGUGUUUGUGAUGAUUAAAUCAAUCUCAAGGUAUGUUGGGUCAGUCUCUCAGAUGUGCUGAUAGAGAGGUACGUAGGGCAGUGACGUGGCGAGGAAUUUUAAACAGGGUGGUCCAAUAAACAAAAAUAAUAAUAUUGGUGUGGAUAGCUCUCGUCUAGAUGAAAAUUAACUAAGUCUUCUCUUACUCCUAACCCAUUUGAUCUGAUGUGGAGAUUCAUGUGGAUUGUUUUGUUUGAUUAGUCAAAUGGUAUACGUGUUAGAUGAGAAUUAGGCAAAUCCACAUUUUGUUGCCACAAAUAGAAACAUAAUUUAUACUGUUAUAUAGUUUAACAAAAGGAUAUAUCAUUAAAAACUUGCAAGUAUACAAAAUUCACAAUUAAUUUGAAAUUCAAAAACAUGAUGUCUUUAGUCUUCUUCAUUUUGCAAUAAUUCUACAGUCAAAUGUUCAAUUGAUACAUUUACACAUGCAUCGAAAUUUUAACAAAUGCACUUGGAGUUUUAACAAAUGUUAAAAGUAUAUCAAAUAAAUGUUUCACAAAUAUGUGAAAAAUGUACAAUAUUUAUGAAAAAGAGACAUCAAACAUGUUAAUCCUUGUAUUUAAAAAUGCCUAUAAUAAUGUAUGAAAAAUGUUAAACAUCUUCUUGAUGCAUACGAAAAAGGACAUCAAGAACAUUUAUUUUUUUAAAUGUUAGUUGUGUAUUUCAAAAAUAUUUCACGUGUAUAAAAAGAUUGUUUCACAUGUACAUGAGAAAUGUACAUAGGAAAUAGAGGGAAAAUGAUAAAACCAACACAUAGAAAAGAAAAAAGGUCAACCGAAAAGGUUCUAAAACCAAAGAAAAACUGAUGAAAACCUAAAGAAAUACAUAUAAGAAGAAAGAGAGAAACCCGGAGAAAAACGUUGAAAAAGAAAGAGAAGUGAAGAAAACUAGGGAAAAUCAAUGAAAACAGAAGAACAAAGAAGAAAAGAAAAAAUGGUGAAAACCAAGGGAAAAUGAAGAAAACAGAAGGAAACAAAAGGAAAGAAAGAAAAGAAAAAAUAGUGAAAUCAAAAAAUCAGGAAAACAUAAGUUAUAACAAAGGGAAAAGGAAAAACUGAAUAAAAUUGGUGAACAAAUUAAAAGAACCGAAGAAAAAACAAAAGAAAAGAAAAAAUAAAAAGUAUCAGAGAAAACCAGAUAGAGCAAACCUAUAGCAAACGAAUCCCGCUAAUAGGCCAGCCUUCUCCAUCUACGCCUGACGCGAUAGCUACUUCCAUCCCGCUAUAAGAAAGACAAAGCUCUCGAUCCUGAGCAUUGGCAAUUAUGUACGACUGUUGUAGCUGGAAAUGAUCAGGCAUGUGAGCUUGCCAGGUUGGAUAAGAUGAUCUAGCAUAUGUUGUAUUUUUUUCAGGGCUUACCACUAUAGCCCGGCAAAAGGGCAGUGCGUUGCCUGGCCAGCAACGAGAUAGAAGAACCGAUCGCCUCUGACAACCUCUGUUUUUCUUUUUUCCAUUAUUAUUAUACACAUUUAUGUAAAUAGAAAAUAUAUAACUUCAAUUAUAUAUGCUAGAUAGCGGUGCAUCGAGUCCCGUGAGCCGGUGUGUACCCCAUGCCCUACUCUCUCUCGCCGGCCACUAGAGCAAUACGCGAGGGGGGUAGCCGGCCGCCGGACAUGGGCACGGCAGAGUCAGACGUCGUUUAGAUUAAGUUUCACGUUGCAUGUAAUUGUAUGGAUUUGAGAUUUCAUAAUUGAGGUAUCCGGUUGUGGAAAUGAUUAUUUGAGAUGUGAUAGGUCACUGGAUUUGCCAAGUCCGGCUUUAGAUACUCUAAUGACUGCUUCAUGUGAAAAGUUCAUGUGAAAUCCAUAGCCUCUGUUGGGAGGGAACUCAGUAAACUCUCAAGGAGAUGGUUACACAAGUAUAACUAACUUGCAGAGUUUUGUUUGUUAGUGUUUGUAUUAGUGGCCCAGGCGAGGGAGUCCUAGCUGUCACGGCGGCAGGCGACCUGCCGUGGGAUUCUCAGCUGCUGGGGGCGUCAUGGACACGUCUGUCCCAUCUGCACCGGUGAUUUCAGCGCCGCUCAUGACGUAUGCCACCUCCUGUUCGCGCACCAUCACCACCGCCCGCUCCCGCUCCUGCGGAGUGGCAUAGUCUGUCUGUUGGAAUGUAUUGAUGGCAUAGUUGCCUGGUUUGCAGCUUGUAUGCUAUCUCGGAUCCAACCUCUGAACCCGUCAUUAUCAGGCUACUAUGAGUAUUCCACCUGACGGAUUGCUAUAUAUGGAAUAAGAGUAUCGUGCUCUCUUUCCCAAUAAAACAGUGCAUUUGGUUCCUUCUCCUAGAUGUGUUAAUAUCAUUGAUUCCAAAUAGGUAUUUAAAGUGAAGAAGCAUUCUGAUGGCUCCAUUGAGCAUUAGAAGGCACGCCUGGUUGCAAAAAGUCUUAAGCAACACUAUGGUCUUGAUUACGAGGAUAAAUUCAGUCCAGUUGUCAAGCCUGUAAACUUUGGUGGAAGCAUUGAACCAUUUGCUCGGGCCGCAUCUCUAUUUAUAUCAUAUGUGUGCCGUGGCUUACAAGAGAUCGAGAGAGAUCGAUCACGAUCGUUACAUGAGAUCAGGGAGGUUACAAUAGAAGAAGAGAUAGAAAGAUACAAGUUUAAAACACCUCUCCUACCUCUAUACAAUAUCAUCUAACAAAGCCCACCACCAUUCGUCUCUUGCUAUUCUUGGCAGUUACUCAUGGUUGGUCUCUCCAACAGUUGGAUUUCCAGAAUGCCUUUCUUCAUGGUGUGUUAGAGAAGGAAGUUUACAUGAGGCAGCCACCAGGUUUUAUUGAUCCAGAUCAUCCUCAUCACCUUUGUCGCUUGGACAAAGCACUAUAUGGUCUAAAGCAAGCAGGCUCUUCGUGUUUGGCAUGCGCUUCUUGCCAGUGCUCUCCGUGUUUGCUAGUACCUACAUGCACCUCGAGACUAACAUCGAUCUGCUAUCAAGCACAUUCUUCGUUAUGUUCGCCUUAUAGCCUAUUAUGGAUUACAUCUUCGGCCUGCUCCCUCCCGUGUUCUUUCAGCUUUUUCAAAUGCAGACUGGGCAGGCAAGCUGAUGAUCGGCGAUCCACGAAGGUAUAUGUGGUAUUUCUUGGUCCUAACUUGAUUGCCUGGAGUGCUCGCAAGCAUGCCAUGGUAUCUGGCAGCAGUACAGAGGUUGAGUACAAGGUUGUAGCCAAUGCGACCGCAUAACUUAUUUGGAUAUAGUCUCUGCUUCGUCAGUUGUGAGUACCUCAAAGACAGCCACCGGUUCUUCGGUGUGAUAACAUUGGUGCUACAUACCUUUCUUCUAAUCCGGUAAUUCAUGCACGGAUAAAACAAUCGAAGUUGAGUACCACUUUGUCAGAGAACAUGUUGCACAUAAUCUACAUCAGAGCAAGGUCAUCUCCUUUAAAGACCAACUUACGGACAUCUUCACCAAGCCAUUGCCGUUACCUUUGUUUUUUGAGCAUUGUCAGCAUUCCAACUUGUGUAACACGGUUGAGAUUGAGGGAGGGUAUUAGACUUCAUAUAUGACUUGUACUCUGAAUACAACUCGUAUAUGUACAUGUAACCUUGUUAUAUAUAUGAAUACAAGGCCACCUUGAGAGGUAGAGCAGUUGACCCAAAAUCAUCUAAACCAAGUGUUAAUAGUUUGAAAUCAAGUUUGCAGGAAGGAACUUUUGGUUGAAUAUUGAUAUACAAUUAUGAAGAAAAAAUCUAGCUUCUUCCAUUCUUAACUUAUAAAUUGAACAGCUUUUAUACUGUAUUUUUUUUGACUUUGUACCCCACACCUGAAAUUGUAUAUACGUAUCUUAUGUUUAUACAUAAAUAAGAGUGGAGUAGAGGUUCAGGUAUGCCGGCCAGAACAUGCCGUGCAGCUCUAGCGCAGUUUUUCGCAAACUAGAGUACACCAGCUCCUUAGGAGCAUGGCGAUCGUAAGAGGGUACAGCGUCAAAAGCCUGCUCUUCCAGCUGAUCCAGAGUACCAGCAGGACGACGGUGUUGGCUAACCUGCGGUGCAGAUGACGCAGCGGGGAUCAAAGCAUGGAGGGGGCCGCAGAUGUCCUCAAGGGAGCCGGUCGCAGCGGCGCGCAGAGCGAUACGCCAAGGGCGCCGUAUAAGCCGGCGAAGAGGUGCACAGCAUCUUCGUCCUCAACUGUGCAGAAGGGGCAGGCAGCGGCCGAGGCAAUGCCGAGGCGAUUCAGAAAGCUUCGCGUGAGUGUUACCAUGCGGAGCAAUCCAGAAGAAGAUCUGGACCUUUUUGGGAGCAAAGCACUCACCACGGUGGUGGAGAAGAGUGUAGACGGCGGCGGUGAGGGUUGGUUGGCGAGUCAAGGUCGACGACUCUCAAAUGUGAACAUUUUCGCUGUACAUCGCAAGGGAAUCAGCAGCCUGUGAGCGAUUGGGCCCAAAACUUGGACCCAGCUUCUCCCGGCCUGUUUCCGAGCAAUUACAAGUUUAUUUACAUCGCUUUUUCCCCUAAAAAAACUUGUUUCUUUCCUCUUUCUUUCUUUCUGUGGAAUGGAAUUGUACCUUCGAUCUACAAGUGGACGGAAAAUUCUAAAAAAUACAGUGGACCGAGCGACCAAGAAUAUCUUCAGAACGAUCAUUGUAUUUUACUCUUGGCUAAUAAAUACACUGAUGGUCAUAAUGUCACCAUAUCACCAAAAUGGUGCGAUCCUUAAUGUUGUAGCAUUAACUCUCACAUGUCUCGUUCUUGUUGGAGAUGAUGAACCAACAACUUUCGGUGGUGUCUCAUAUGCCAUGAAACUUCCAGGAAGCUGCAUCGGUGGUGUCCUAUAUGUGCAAGAGAUUUCCAGGAAGUUUCGUUCAGGGUCAAACCUUAGCCUUGUGAAGUCAUCUGUGAUAUAUGUGAACUAAUGCUCGGGAAAGGACAAGGAUAGCAAUGAAUAAGAUAUGGCGCCAUCUUCUGCUGAAUUUCUCCGAACUGAUGAUGGAAGGCAUCUUUCAAUGCUAUAUAUAUGCCCAUGUCUCUGGGCCUGGAAAAUGUUCCAUUUGAAAACCACUGCCUACAUCAACCUACAUAUAUUUCAUUCUCUCUUUCUCAUGUGGGCGAUGGUGAUUAUGGGUCAAAACAUCCUAAUCGCAUUGGUGUCAUCUCUCCUGAUGUUGAUCUUGGGGCCAUUGAUCAUAGAUGUAAUCCUGGUAAGCAAAAAGAUCUGGAGCUUCUUGUGCACACUUACAAAAUACCUAGUGCAUGACGACACCCUCGCCGUCGACUCCGUGGUGCUUGGUGAUAGCUGCGCACCGCCGGCGCAACUAGUUGGCGGCGGCGGAUUGACCUCUGGUGACAUAGAAAUUGUCACGACGAGGCUU